AGCAGCGUGGCUCAGUGGAAAGAGCCCGGGCUUGGGAGUCAGAGGCCACGGGUUCGAAUCCCGGCUCUGCCA
Non-coding RNA from Ornithorhynchus anatinus (platypus), 72 nucleotides. Lineage: Eukaryota; Metazoa; Chordata; Mammalia; Monotremata; Ornithorhynchidae. The record is from Rfam.